GAAGGCAGAAGCGGAGCGGUCCCAGCGCACAAUCUCAGAGCUCACCCAGUUUACAGCCAAGAGGAGUGAAGGGGAGAUGUCCUGCUGAAAUCUGUUUGGCAAGUCAGUAGCAACGCCGUCUGUAGAACUGAGCUCUUCAGAGUCUUCAUCCUGUGCUGUAUCCACUGAGGUAUCCCCUGCGAGGCCUAAUCAGAAGUGUUGUGCCAUUUAGCAACCGCUGCCGGAACUGGAAUCGUGCUGUCAUGAGUCUCAGAUAACUUACAGGCUUUCCUCGUGGAUGAUUACCUGGUUUCAUCUAACUGCAGCAAGAGAAAGAAAAUCCAAAUGCUGAAGGACUUACAGGCUUGUGGAUCUCUUUGAGAAGAUUAUAACAGCUAGAAAGAAACCGAUACAAGAUGAAAGCACAAGUAUUGAUAAGUCCGAAUGUAAUUAUCAGGACAGAACUGCUUGCUAAGAGACAGACUCCGCAAUUACAAGUUGUGUUGUGUUAUGUUUGUUACGAAGUUAUGAUUCAGAAGCUGUUUGGUGAAAUCCUGUGGCUCUUUGCCAGGAAUGGUGAAUGUUUCUCGUUACUGGUGCCAAACAAACUAAAAAAGAAACCAUCAUAGCUUCUUACUGCUGGUGCCAGACCAAAUACCUGUUGGCACCAAACUUGGUAUUGGUGCCAAAGGCUUGCUAUCACUGGCCUGUGAUAUGAGGAAACACUGGCUGAGUUGUCACAGUAGCCUUUUAUUGCCUCUACGUCCAUGCAUUGAGCAGAGUGAGCAACAUGGUAGGAGUACAAGAAAAUUAAUCGAAAGCUGAAGGGCUUUGAAUGUGUAAUGAAGUCACUGAACUUUGCUAGCCCUUUCUGGAAUCACCUAAGCCAGUUCAAAAACAUAUGUAUUUUACAUGGGUAAACAAGUGACUAGAGAUAGCGAAGGAUAUGUUUCCAUUCAAUUGAGUUACAGUACUAUUUAUAGCACUGUGGAUUAACAAAUGAGUCACCCUGCCAAUAAUAUUCCAGCUGAAUAACAAUAAGUAUUCCACAUUCUUAUUUCUGUUUUUUUUUUUUUUUUUUAAAUUUAUGUUCUUUGUUUUCAAAAAG
This 1087-nucleotide long non-coding RNA is filed under the name Gallus gallus (chicken). Lineage: Eukaryota; Metazoa; Chordata; Aves; Galliformes; Phasianidae. The record is from RNAcentral.